This is a long non-coding RNA of Protopterus annectens (West African lungfish), 1427 nucleotides long. RefSeq lists it as uncharacterized. Lineage: Eukaryota; Metazoa; Chordata; Ceratodontiformes; Protopteridae. The record is from RefSeq and is a predicted model, not a curated record. The transcript is spliced from 3 exons.
UUAAAAUGUACUGGUACUAAAAUGUACAAGGUCAGGAAACAAGACUGAUUAACAAGUUAGAUGGCUUGUGUUUUGCUAAUAAAAACAUUAUUGUUGAGUGUUCACGUGCAGCAACACGAGGGUCUGCAGAAAUCCUAUUUGACCACGUCAGUAUUCUGCAUGCAUGAUACUGAUAAGAAAAGUAAAUAAGAACUGUGUAUUUUUGCUGCUUGGAGAGACUGAAUUUAAAUUGUGUAGACAGUCUCCCAGCACUAACGUAUAUGGAUUUAAAUAAAAAGAAAAGGUUUUGCACAUCCUGAAGAGUUAUUCUUGACUCAAGACUAAAAGUGUCAGUUUUCAAGCUGAGGCAUCACAGGGACAAGUUCAGAAGUGACUCAAAGACAGAUAUAUUAAAUCCUCUAAUGGAGUAUGGCAACAUCCAGAUGGCCAACUGGUGAUGUCUGCCUCCUUGCCACCUUACCUGGUAAGGGCAUAUCUUGCAGGAUACCUGAUACUAUGGGCAGAAGAUGUCCUUCACCGAGUUCUCCCUCUGUGUUACGAUGCGUUCUUUUGAAAGAUGUACCAGCUUUACACUUCUGCACCAGAUGAUGUAUAUGGUUUGCCUUUUAGCCAAUGGAAGGAGGGUACGAACAUAUUAUGCAAGUUCUGACGUACUCAGUACUACAAUAUGUAUUUACACACUGGAAAAUGCCAAUGACAUAAGUUACAGACAGUAAAAGAUAAUGAUUUCUGUGUAUACCAAACUGACUACACCCACAUAGAUGUACUUAUCUGUUAAUACUUAUCAAAGGGUAACUACAUACAAGGAGUUAGCAUGUUGAAAAGGAGGACAUUCCACAAUACUAUUAUAUUUCAAUAUAAUGCAGAAAGUUAACUGUAUGUUAGCAAUAAAUUUGCAUUUUUACUGCUUAGGUUCUCCUUCAUAACUUACUUAUAAUGUAUUCCCAUUUGUCAUUGAUUUGCUACACUACAAUACCCCAUAUCAGUGUAACAGAUAGUUAACAAUUUGUACAACUAUUGUGUUACAUGACACCUAUAAACAUUCUUAUUUGUUUCAAACAGUAGGAAUAAGAUAAUGUGCUGCACUUUGCCAAAAUCAGUAUGAAUAUCUACAAUAUAAAUUACGCAAGCUGUGAAAAUUAUCAUAGUUUAAACAGUGCAUAAAACAGUAUUCAAGCACUUUUGUCACUGCUCUAUGUAAUUGUAUAUGAUAUGCAUGUCGCAUUGCACUCUGACAUUUGUAUAGCCAAAAUGCAUGACAAACAUCAUUAGAACAGUAGGAAUUAAAACAUCACAGCAUUAUAAACUGUUAGAAUGAAUACAUCAUAGCUUUAGAAUGGUAAAAGCCAAAUAUCACAGCAUUACAAGUUUUAUAAUAAAUUUUGGGCCCCAAUAACAUCCCAGGGUGCUUAAUAAAUACCAUGAAA